GAUGAACGCUGGCGGCGUGCCUAACACAUGCAAGUCGAGCGAUCUUCUUCGGAAGAGAGCGGCGGACGGGUGAGUAACGCGUGGGUAACCUGCCCUGUACACACGGAUAACAUAACGAAAGGUAUGCUAAUACGAGAUAAUAUUCUUUUAUCGUACGGUAGAAGUAUCAAAGCUCCGGCGGUACAGGAUGGACCCGCGUCUGAUUAGCUAGUUGGUAAGGUAACGGCUUACCAAGGCGACGAUCAGUAGCCGACCUGAGAGGGUGAUCGGCUACAUUGGUACUGAGACACGGUCCAAACUCCUACGGGAGGCAGCAGUGGGGAAUAUUGCACAAUGGGCGAAAGCCUGAUGCAGCAACGCCGCGUGAGCGAUGAAGGCCUUCGGGUCGUAAAGCUCUGUCCUCAAGGAAGAUAAUGACGGUACUUGAGGAGGAAGCCCCGGCUAACUAUGUGCCAGCCGCCGCGGUAA
RNAcentral lists this ribosomal RNA (468 nucleotides) under uncultured bacterium. Its description in RNAcentral is "partial 16S ribosomal RNA". It matches the Rfam family "Bacterial small subunit ribosomal RNA", at positions 28 to 523 of the family's 1533-position model. The record is from RNAcentral.